This 500-nucleotide ribosomal RNA is filed under the name uncultured dinoflagellate. RNAcentral's name for it is "SSU rRNA". It matches the Rfam family "Eukaryotic small subunit ribosomal RNA", at positions 33 to 536 of the family's 1831-position model. The record is from RNAcentral. Lineage: Eukaryota; Dinophyceae.
ACUGUCUCAGAUUAGCCAUGCAUGUCUCAGUAUAAGCUUCUAUACGGCGAGACUGCGAAUGGCUCAUUAAAACAGUUAUAGUUUAUUUGGUGGUCAGCAAUUACAUGGAUAACCGUGGUAAUUCUAGAGCUAAUACAUGCGCCCAAACCCGACUUCGUGGAAGGGUUGUGUUUAUUAGAUACAGAACCAACCCAGGCUCCGCCUGGCCUUGAGGUGAUUCAUAAUAACCGAACGAAUCGCAUGGCUAUGCCGGCGAUAGACCAUUCAAGUUUCUGACCUAUCAGCUAUCGUCGGUAGGGUAUUGGCCUACCGUGGCAAUGACGGGUAACGGAGAAUUAGGGUUCGAUUCCGGAGAGGGAGCCUGAGAAACGGCUACCACAUCUAAGGAAGGCAGCAGGCGCGCAAAUUACCCAAUCCUGACGCAGGGAGGUAGUGACAAGAAAUAACAAUACAGGGCAUACAUGUCUUGUAAUUGGAAUGAGUAAACUUUAAAUCACUUU